AGACGUCUACAUUAGAUACCCUGUAGUCCAGGGUGUAAACGCUGCAGACUUGGUGUUGGGAACCCUUCGGGGGUGCUCAGUGCCGGAGAGAAGUUGUUAAGUCUGCUACUUGGGGAGUACGUCCGCAAGGAUGAAACUUAAAGGAAUUGGCGGGGGAGCACAACAACGGGUGGAGCCUGCGGUUUAAUUGGACUCAACGCCGGACAACUCACCGGGAACGACAGCAAUAUGUAGGCCAGGCUGAAGACCUUGCCUGAAUCGCUG
Molecule: ribosomal RNA, 264 nt
Filed under: uncultured archaeon
Lineage: Archaea
Description: partial 16S ribosomal RNA
Rfam family: Archaeal small subunit ribosomal RNA
Source: RNAcentral